This is a non-coding RNA of Phrynosoma platyrhinos (Desert horned lizard), 72 nucleotides long. The record is from the annotation of a GenBank genome assembly. NCBI's taxonomy places the organism in Eukaryota, Metazoa, Chordata, Lepidosauria, Squamata, Phrynosomatidae.
GUCAGUGUGGUGUAGUGGUUUGAGCAUUGGACUAAGACUCUGGAGACUGGGAAUCAAAUCCCCGCUCAGUCA